AUUGAACGCUAGCGGCAGGCUUAACACAUGCAAGUCGAGCGAGCGGCGGACGGGUGAGUAAUGUAUGGGGAUCUGCCCGAUAGAGGGGGAUAACUACUGGAAACGGUAGCUAAUACCGCAUACUAUCGGCUGAACCCAUAUGGGAUUAGCUAGUAGGUGGGGUAAAGGCUAACCUAGGCGACGAUCUCUAGCUGGUCUGAGAGGAGGAUCAGACACACUGGAACUGAGACAUGGGCCAUACUCUGACGUGAGGCAGCAGUGGGGAAUAUGGCGAAAUGGGCGCAAGCCGGAUGCAGCCAUGCCGCGUGUAUGAAGAAGGCCUUAGGGUUGUAAAGGACUUUCAGCGGGGAGGCGUUACCCGCAGAAGAAGCACCGGCUAACUCCGUUCCAGCAGCCGCGGUAAUAC
This 406-nucleotide ribosomal RNA is filed under the name uncultured bacterium. RNAcentral describes it as "partial 16S ribosomal RNA". It matches the Rfam family "Bacterial small subunit ribosomal RNA", at positions 30 to 526 of the family's 1533-position model. The record is from RNAcentral.